This 199-nucleotide ribosomal RNA is filed under the name uncultured bacterium. RNAcentral describes it as "partial 16S ribosomal RNA". It matches the Rfam family "Bacterial small subunit ribosomal RNA", at positions 1301 to 1500 of the family's 1533-position model. The record is from RNAcentral.
CAGUCUGCAACUCGAGUGCAUGAAGCUGGAAUCGCUAGUAAUCGCGAAUCAGAAUGUCGCGGUGAAUACGUUCCCGGGUCUUGUACACACCGCCCGUCACACCAUGGGAGCCGACAACGCCCGAAGUCAGUGACCUAACCGAGAGGGAGGAGCUGCCGAAGGCGGGGUUGGUAACUGGGUGAAGUCGUAACAAGGUAAC